This 252-nucleotide ribosomal RNA is filed under the name uncultured bacterium. Its description in RNAcentral is "partial 16S ribosomal RNA". It matches the Rfam family "Bacterial small subunit ribosomal RNA", at positions 525 to 776 of the family's 1533-position model. The record is from RNAcentral.
ACGGAGGGGGCUAGCGUUGUUCGGAAUUACUGGGCGUAAAGCGUGCGUAGGCGGAUUAGCAAGUAUAGGGUGAAAUCCCAGGGCUCAACCCUGGAACUGCCUUAUAAACUGCUAGUCUUGAGUUCUGGAGAGGUAAGUGGAAUUCCUAGUGUAGAGGUGAAAUUCGUAGAUAUUAGGAGGAACACCAGAGGCGAAGGCGGCUUACUGGACAGAUACUGACGCUGAGGCACGAAAGUGUGGGGAGCAAACAGG